AAUAAGUGCAGUUUUGCACUAUUUAUGUUCAAUGUUUGAGUUCGUCUUAUUUUGAAAAUUUUUUAUGAUUAGUAUUUUUAUUGCUAUUAGAUGAUAAAACAUGAAUAGUACUUUAUGUAUGACUAAAUAUUUUCAAUUUUUUCACGAAUUUUUUAAAUAAGACGGACGGUCAAACGUUGGGCACGGUAUCCACAGUUGCACUUAUU
Molecule: microRNA precursor, 206 nt
Organism: Oryza rufipogon (brownbeard rice)
Lineage: Eukaryota; Viridiplantae; Streptophyta; Magnoliopsida; Poales; Poaceae
Rfam family: MIR812 microRNA precursor family
Source: Rfam